RNAcentral lists this unclassified non-coding RNA (253 nucleotides) under uncultured Actinomycetes bacterium. RNAcentral describes it as "uncultured actinobacterium contains 16S-23S intergenic spacer region". It matches the Rfam family "Bacterial small subunit ribosomal RNA", at positions 524 to 776 of the family's 1533-position model. The record is from RNAcentral. Lineage: Bacteria; Bacillati; Actinomycetota; Actinomycetes.
UACGUAGGGUGCGAGCGUUGUCCGGAAUUACUGGGCGUAAAGGGCUCGUAGGCGGUCUGUCGCGUCGCCUGUGAAAGCCCGAGGCUCAACCUCGGAAUUGCAGCCGAUACGGUCAGACUAGAGGACGGUAGGGGCAAGCGGAACUCCUGGUGUAGCGGUGAAAUGCGCAGAUAUCAGGAAGAACACCGAUGGCGAAGGCAGCUUGCUGGGCCGAUCCUGACGCUGAGGAGCGAAAGCGUGGGGAGCGAACAGG